RNAcentral lists this ribosomal RNA (417 nucleotides) under uncultured beta proteobacterium. Its description in RNAcentral is "partial 16S ribosomal RNA". It matches the Rfam family "Bacterial small subunit ribosomal RNA", at positions 338 to 747 of the family's 1533-position model. Lineage: Bacteria; Pseudomonadati; Pseudomonadota; Betaproteobacteria. The record is from RNAcentral.
CCUACGGGAGGCAGCAGUGGGGAAUUUUGGACAAUGGGUGAAACCCUGAUCCAGCCAUUCCGCGUGAGUGAAGAAGGCCUUCGGGUUGUAAAGCUCUUUCGGCAGGAACGAAACGGCGGACUCUAACAUAGUCUGUCAAUGACGGUACCUGAAGAAGAAGCACCGGCUAACUACGUGCCAGCAGCCGCGGUAAUACGUAGGGUGCGAGCGUUAAUCGGAAUUACUGGGCGUAAAGCGUGCGCAGGCGGCUUUGUAAGAGGGAGGUGAAAUCCCUGGGCUUAACCGAGGAACUGCGUUCGUGACUGCAAAGCUAGAGUGCGGCAGAGGGGGGUGGAAUUCCUGGUGUAGCAGUGAAAUGCGUAGAGAUCAGGAGGAACACCGGAGGCGAAGGCGGUCCCCUGCCCCUUUACUGACGCU